CCUACGGGAGGCAGCAGUAGGGAAUCUUCCACAAUGGGCGAAAGCCUGAUGGAGCAACGCCGCGUGGGUGAAGAAGGUCUUCGGAUCGUAAAACCCUGUUGUUAGAGAAGAAAGUGCGUGAGAGUAACUGUUCACGUUUCGAAGGUAUCUAACCAGAAAGCCACGGCUAACUACGUGCCAGCAACCGCGGUAAUACGUAGGUGGCAAGCGUUACCCGGAUGUAUUGGGCGUAAGGGGAACGCAGGCGGUCUUGUAAGUCUGAUGUGAAAGCCUUCGGCUUAACCGGAGUAGUGCAUUGGAAACUGGGAGACUUGAGUGCAGAAGAGGAGAGUGGAACUCCAUGUGUAGCGGUGAAAUGCGUAGAUAUAUGGAAGAACACCAGUGGCGAAAGCGGCUCUCUGGUCUGUAACUGACGCUGAGGUACGAAAGCGUGGGUAGCAAACAGGAUUAGAUACCCGUGUAGUC
Molecule: ribosomal RNA, 465 nt
Filed under: uncultured bacterium
Lineage: Bacteria
Description: partial 16S ribosomal RNA
Rfam family: Bacterial small subunit ribosomal RNA
Source: RNAcentral